UGGAUAUCUUCUUUGUAAAAAUGUUCAGUACAGAGAAGAUUAGCAUGGCCCCUGUGGAAGGAUGACAUGCAAAUUUGUGAAGCGUUCCUUAUUAUU
Ailuropoda melanoleuca (giant panda) is the source of this 96-nucleotide small nuclear RNA. The record is from Ensembl. NCBI's taxonomy places the organism in Eukaryota, Metazoa, Chordata, Mammalia, Carnivora, Ursidae.